This 157-nucleotide ribosomal RNA is filed under the name Fusarium proliferatum. RNAcentral's name for it is "5.8S ribosomal RNA". The record is from RNAcentral. Lineage: Eukaryota; Fungi; Ascomycota; Sordariomycetes; Hypocreales; Nectriaceae.
CUUGCCGCAAGGGCUCGCCGAUCCCCAACACCAAACCCGGGGGCUUGAGGGUUGAAAUGACGCUCGAACAGGCAUGCCCGCCAGAAUACUGGCGGGCGCAAUGUGCGUUCAAAGAUUCGAUGAUUCACUGAAUUCUGCAAUUCACAUUACUUAUCGC